GGCAACCCUGACGGAGCAACGCCGCGUGUGGGAGGACGGCCUUCGGGUUGUAAACCACUUUUCUCAGGGAAGAAGAACUGACGGUACCUGAGGAAUAAGCCUCGGCUAACUCCGUGCCAGCAGCCGCGGUAAUACGGAGGAGGCAAGCGUUAUCCGGAAUUAUUGGGCGUAAAGCGUUCGUAGGCGGCUGUUCAAGUCUGCUGUCAAAGACCGAGGCUCAACCUCGGGUCGGCAGUGGAAACUGGAUAGCUAGAGGUCGGUAGGGGCAAAGGGAAUUCCCAGUGUAGCGGUGAAAUGCGUAGAUAUUGGGAAGAACACCGGUGGCGAAAGCGCUUUGCUGGACCGAACCUGACGCUGAGGGACGAAAGCUAGGGGAGCG
Molecule: ribosomal RNA, 379 nt
Filed under: uncultured cyanobacterium
Lineage: Bacteria; Bacillati; Cyanobacteriota
Description: bacterial SSU rRNA
Rfam family: Bacterial small subunit ribosomal RNA
Source: RNAcentral